Molecule: long non-coding RNA, 249 nt
Filed under: Setaria italica (foxtail millet)
Lineage: Eukaryota; Viridiplantae; Streptophyta; Magnoliopsida; Poales; Poaceae
Description: long non-coding RNA (SITA_LNC000715)
Source: RNAcentral
GGGAGCCGAUUCAAAUUUCUUCAAAAAACCUCGGCUUAAAUCCCAAACUAAUCCACAAACCUCUCUUCUAGCAAUAUCAAAUCCUCUUAGCUAUGCAAGAGCUAAUUGACCUAGGAAUGGUGUUAUGAACUAAUUUAGAGACUAACCGAAGCAAUAAUGAACCUAAACAAGUGUCAGAAGAAGAGAUUCAAAAACCAACACAAAAGUACGAAAACUCCGCAAAAUUCUCCAGAGAAUCCGCAACUUCCG